GAGAAAGCAAACGCAAUUCGCCAGGCAUUGGCUGGAAGUGAUGAAGAUGACGAUAGUGAUAGUUGGAGUGAUUCUGAAUAAACUUUCAGCUCCUUCAAUCCAUAACUACUCCAUUGCUCCUUCUCCAUGAACUGGGUCGAGAUUUCUCGUUCUUCUCCCUUAAAUGGUAAUUUCGGUAGUUUAGUGGUUACGUUACUCUUCUUCUCUAAGCUUCUUCAUAUAUGUAAAUCAUACAUCACAUGUUCUCCCACACCCCCUCUGUUUUCUCUACUUUGGUUU
Molecule: unclassified non-coding RNA, 279 nt
Filed under: Hevea brasiliensis (rubber tree)
Lineage: Eukaryota; Viridiplantae; Streptophyta; Magnoliopsida; Malpighiales; Euphorbiaceae
Source: RNAcentral